AUUAGAAACACGAUUCGGGGU
Molecule: non-coding RNA, 21 nt
Filed under: Rattus norvegicus (Norway rat)
Lineage: Eukaryota; Metazoa; Chordata; Mammalia; Rodentia; Muridae
Source: RNAcentral